This 97-nucleotide small nucleolar RNA is filed under the name Magallana gigas (Pacific oyster). RNAcentral describes it as "small nucleolar RNA U83B". It matches the Rfam family "Small nucleolar RNA U83B". From Rfam's summary of the family: U83B belongs to the C/D family of snoRNAs. U83B like U83A has no documented RNA target and they share the same host gene with the C/D box snoRNA U43 (RPL3). RNAcentral also lists the same sequence under 1 other name. The record is from Rfam by way of RNAcentral. Lineage: Eukaryota; Metazoa; Mollusca; Bivalvia; Ostreida; Ostreidae.
AGAGAUGUGUGAUGUAAAAACAUGGUAUCUGCCCCUGCCAGGGCAGUCUGAAUUACUCUGUAGAAGGACACCAUGCUGCCUUCCUUCUGAUGUCUCU